UUAAUCCUGAAGUGCUCGUUAAGGAUUUAUAAUUCAACCUACGUAUUGACCUUGGGAACUCGGGUUUCCCCAGCCUAUGUCAAGCCUCCAAUGCGAGGAAGACAGAAGCAGGAACAGAGUACCCCCCUAUCUGAGAUAGGGUGUGAAUUAUAUCCUGACGACAUGUUCGGGAUUUUU
RNAcentral lists this non-coding RNA (177 nucleotides) under Clostridiales bacterium. RNAcentral's name for it is "6S RNA". It matches the Rfam family "6S / SsrS RNA". Rfam says of the family: E. coli 6S RNA was the first non coding RNA to be sequenced, but its function was unknown until recently. Lineage: Bacteria; Bacillati; Bacillota; Clostridia; Eubacteriales. RNAcentral also lists the same sequence under 1 other name. The record is from RNAcentral.